UGGGGAAUUUUUCGCAAUGGGGGCAACCCUGACGAAGCAACGCCGCGUGGAGGAUGAAGGCCCUAGCGGUUGUAAACUCCUGUCUAGCGGGACGAAGGUAUUGGAAUCGAAUAGAUUCCGAUAUUGACUGUACCGCUGGAGGAAGCUCCGGCUAACUCCGUGCCAGCAGCCGCGGUAAUACGGAGGGAGCAAGCGUUACUCGGAAUUAUUGGGCGUAAAGGGCGCGUAGGCGAUUUGACAAGUCGGUUGUGAAAGCCCAGGGCCUAACCCUGGAAGUGCAACCGAGACUGUUGAAUUUGAGUAUAGGAGAGGAAGGCAGAAUUCCCGGUGUAGCGGUGAAAUGCGUAGAUAUCGGGAGGAAUACCAGCGGCGAAGGCGGCCUUCUGGACUAUAACUGACGCUGAGGCGCGAAAGCUAGGGUAGCAAACGG
Molecule: ribosomal RNA, 430 nt
Filed under: uncultured bacterium
Lineage: Bacteria
Description: bacterial SSU rRNA
Rfam family: Bacterial small subunit ribosomal RNA
Source: RNAcentral